GAUGAAGAACGCAGCGAAAUGCGAUAAGUAGUGUGAAUUGCAGAAUUCAGUGAAUCAUCGAAUCUUUGAACGCACAUUGCGCCCCUUGGUAUUCCAUGGGGCAUGCCUGUUCGAGCGUCAUUUGUACCUUCAAGCUCUGCUUGGUGUUGGGUGUUUGUCUCGCCUCUGCGUGUAGACUCGCCUUAAAACAAUUGGCAGCCGGCGUAUUGAUUUCGGAGCGCAGUACAUCUCGCGCUUUGCACUCAUAACGACGACGUCCAAAAGUACAUUUUUACACUCUUGACCUCGGAUCAGGUGGGGAUACCCGCUGAACUUAAGCAUAUCAAUAAGCGGAGGA
This 337-nucleotide unclassified non-coding RNA is filed under the name soil metagenome. RNAcentral describes it as "partial contains 5.8S ribosomal RNA, internal transcribed spacer 2, and large subunit ribosomal RNA". The stretch from base 1 to 120 matches the Rfam family "5.8S ribosomal RNA", at positions 35 to 154 of the family's 154-position model. The record is from RNAcentral.